Molecule: ribosomal RNA, 482 nt
Filed under: uncultured Diversisporales
Lineage: Eukaryota; Fungi; Glomeromycota; Glomeromycetes; Diversisporales
Description: eukaryotic LSU rRNA
Source: RNAcentral
UACUCUCGUGGUGAAUCAUCGAAUCUUUGAACGCAAUUUGCACGUGAUGGCUCAUGUCAUCAGGUAUACUUGUUUGAGUAUCCACCAAUUCUCUCCAAUCAACAAAGUGUUUAUUUACUUUGUUUGUUGUGCGGACAUGAGACUCGAUAACGUCAACAUGAUGAUGAUGACGCAAUCGUUUCUUGAAAUCUAGAGACACACUCUUUACUGGCAAGUGCUUCGCACUUGAAUAGGAAGAAACAUUUGUGAUUGACCUUUUUCCAUUCACUCUAUUGGGAUAACAUCCUAACAAUAGACAAAGAAAAGGACAAGAAUGAUGGUGUGUGUCACCUUGAUGAACACAGGGAAUAAUAAAUUAUAUUAUUCUGGGUGAACAUCACGAUGAUGAAAGAUUUAUUCAUUUAUAUUCUCUCAUCAUCUUAUCAUGGAUCUCAAAUCAAGUAAGGAGACCCGCUGAACUUAAGCAUAUCAAUAAGCGGAGG